This 442-nucleotide ribosomal RNA is filed under the name uncultured bacterium. Its description in RNAcentral is "partial 16S ribosomal RNA". It matches the Rfam family "Bacterial small subunit ribosomal RNA", at positions 338 to 794 of the family's 1533-position model. The record is from RNAcentral.
CCUACGGGUGGCUGCAGUGGGGGAUAUUGGACAAUGGGGGAAACCCUGAUCCAGCGACGCCGCGUGAGUGAAGAAGUAUUUCGGUAUGUAAAGCUCUGUCAGCAGGGAAGAAAGAAAUGACGGUACCUGACCAAGAAGCCCCGGCUAACUACGUGCCAGCAGCCGCGGUAAUACGUAGGGGGCAAGCGUUAUCCGGAAUUACUGGGUGUAAAGGGAGCGUAGACGGUGAUGCAAGUCUGGAGUGAAAGGCGGGGGCCCAACCCCCGGACUGCUCUGGAAACUGUGUAACGUGAGUGCAGGAGAGGUAAGCGGAAUUCCUGGUGUAGCGGUGACAUGCGUAGAUAUUAGGAGGAACACCAGUGGCGAAGGCGGCUUACUGGACUGUAACUGACGUUGAGGCUCGAAAGCGUGGGGAGCAAACAGGAUUAGAUACCCCUGUAGU